CAGUAGCCGCGGUAAUACGUAGUGUGCGAGCGUUAAUCGGAAUUACUGGGCGUAAAGCGUGCGCAGGCGGUUUUGUAAGACAGAGGUGAAAUCCCCGGGCUCAACCUGGGAACUGCCUUUGUGACUGCAAGGCUAGAGUACGGCAGAGGGGGAUGGAAUUCCGCGUGUAGCAGUGAAAUGCGUAGAUAUGCGGAGGAACACCGAUGGCGAAGGCAAUCCCCUGGGCCUGUACUGACGCUCAUGCACGAAAGCGUGGGGAGCAAACAGGAUUAGAUACCCCAGUAGUCCCUGUCUCUUAUAA
RNAcentral lists this ribosomal RNA (301 nucleotides) under uncultured bacterium. RNAcentral's name for it is "partial 16S ribosomal RNA". It matches the Rfam family "Bacterial small subunit ribosomal RNA", at positions 509 to 809 of the family's 1533-position model. The record is from RNAcentral.